RNAcentral lists this non-coding RNA (420 nucleotides) under Clostridium sp. C105KSO13. RNAcentral describes it as "Bacterial large subunit ribosomal RNA". It matches the Rfam family "Bacterial large subunit ribosomal RNA", at positions 448 to 714 of the family's 2925-position model. Lineage: Bacteria; Bacillati; Bacillota; Clostridia; Eubacteriales; Clostridiaceae. The record is from Rfam by way of RNAcentral.
GGGGACCACCCCGUAAGGCUAAAUACUACUUAGUGACCGAUAGCGCAUAGUACUGUGAAGGAAAGGUGAAAAGGACCCCGGGAGGGGAGUGAAAGAGAACCUGAAACCAUAUGUUUACAAGCUGUGGGAGGUGUGUCUAUGGAUUCACCUAUCUUCAUGAGCCCUGUAGCUGUUACGGCAGUGAUUACAGCGUCAACUUACUCGGCGUAGACAACUACGCCUGUGUGAGUUUCCUUGUACUCACAACCGUACCAGCCACAGUUUAUCAUGAGAAUAGGUGAAUCCAUAGCCAUCGACCGCGUACUUUUUGUAGAACGGUCCGGCGAGUUACGCCGGCUGGCAAGGUUAAGGGCUUUAAAGGCCCGGAGCCGAAGGGAAACCAAGUCUGAAUAGGGCGAGCACAAGUCAGUCGGAGUAGAC